RNAcentral lists this ribosomal RNA (383 nucleotides) under uncultured eukaryote. RNAcentral describes it as "partial 18S ribosomal RNA". It matches the Rfam family "Eukaryotic small subunit ribosomal RNA", at positions 592 to 976 of the family's 1831-position model. The record is from RNAcentral.
CAAUAGCGUAUAUUAAAGUUGUUGCAGUUAAAAAGCUCGUAGUUGGAUUUCUGGUGGGAGCGAUCGGUCUGGCGCUUAGCGCGAGUACUUGCAUCGUCUCCGGCCAUCCUUGGGGAGAGUCUGUCUGGCAUUAAGUUGUCGGGCAGAGGAUCCUCAUCGUUUACUGUGAAAAAAUUAGAGUGUUCAAAGCAGGCUUAUGCCGUUGAAUAUAUUAGCAUGGAAUAAUAAGAUAGGACUUUGGUACUAUUUUGUUGGUUUGCGCACCAAAGUAAUGAUUAAUAGGGACAGUUAGGGGUAUUCGUAUUCCGUUGUCAGAGGUGAAAUUCUUGGAUUUACGGAAGACGAACUACUGCGAAAGCAUUUACCAAGGAUGUUUUCAUUAA